Molecule: ribosomal RNA, 733 nt
Filed under: uncultured bacterium
Lineage: Bacteria
Description: bacterial SSU rRNA
Rfam family: Bacterial small subunit ribosomal RNA
Source: RNAcentral
AACAGGAUUAGAUACCCUGGUAGUCCACGCCCUAAACGAUGUGUGCUAGUUGUUAGUCCCUCAGGGAUUAGUGACGCAGCUAACGCGUUAAGCACACCGCCUGGGGAGUACGGCCGCAAGGUUAAAACUCAAAGAAAUUGACGGGGACCCGCACAAGCGGUGGAGCAUGUGGUUUAAUUCGAAGCAACGCGAAGAACCUUACCAACCCUUGACAUCCUUAUCGCGCUUUCCAGAGAUGGAUCGCUUCAGUUCGGCUGGAUAAGUGACAGGUGCUGCACGGCUGUCGUCAGCUCGUGUCGUGAGAUGUUCGGUUAAGUCCGGCAACGAGCGCAACCCCUAUUUCCAGCUACCAUCAUUAAGUUGGGGACUCUGGCAAAACUGCCCGUGACAAGCGGGAGGAAGGUGGGGACGACGUCAAGUCAUCAUGGCCCUUACGGGUUGGGCUACACACGUGCUACAAUGGCGGUGACAAUGGGUAUUAGUCCGCAAGGAGGAAAUAACCCCUAAAAACCGUCUCAGUUCGGAUUGCACUCUGCAACUCGAGUGCAUGAAGCUGGAAUCGCUAGUAAUCGUGAAUCAGCAUGUCGCGGUGAAUACGUUCCCGGGUCUUUGUACACACCGCCCGUCAAGCAAUGGGAGUUGGUUCUACCCGAAGAUGGUGCGCUAAACCUUUUAGGAGGCAGCCAGCCACGGUAGGAUCAGCGACUGGUGCUAAGUUCGUAACAAGGUAACC